RNAcentral lists this unclassified non-coding RNA (375 nucleotides) under uncultured fungus. Its description in RNAcentral is "sequence contains ITS1". The stretch from base 1 to 106 matches the Rfam family "5.8S ribosomal RNA", at positions 49 to 154 of the family's 154-position model. The record is from RNAcentral. Lineage: Eukaryota; Fungi.
UGAAAUGCGAAAAGUAAUGCGAUUUGCAUGAAUCUGUGAGUCAUCAAGUCUUUGAACGCACCUUGCACCAUGUGAGCAAUUGUAUGGUAUACCUGUUUGAGAAUCGUAAAAACCUCUUUCCACCGCAAGGCGGGAGAUUUGUCGGUUGUGCCCCUCACGGGGUACUCUGAUCAAAAGCAGUAGGUCCGGAUCAGGCUAGUGGCCUGGGACAUUGUGUGCUAGAGACGUUCGCCUUGUGCCUACAGUCUUCUCACAGUGCGUCCUAGGCCAUCAAGCUAACCUGGUCGAUCGGGUCUGUACAGUGAGUGAGCGCUUUGCUCAUGACCAACCCCCACUUUUGAUCUCAAAUCAGGUAAGGCUACCCGCUGAACUUAA